Molecule: long non-coding RNA, 1539 nt
Organism: Limulus polyphemus (Atlantic horseshoe crab)
Lineage: Eukaryota; Metazoa; Arthropoda; Merostomata; Xiphosura; Limulidae
Exons: 3
Source: RefSeq, a predicted model, not a curated record
CCGGCACCCGUGACGUCACCCCAGCCUUAUCCUCCGGAUACGCUACAACCAAAGUCAGAAAAACUGUGGAAUAGUUACUCCCACAACGUGGUCUCUAAGCCUAAAGAGAAAGAGAUCUCUACAGAUGUAAUAGACGACACCCAGGAUGUUGUACAUCCCGACAUCAUUCGAGUUACACCUUCAGAAGGUUAUUCUGCUGUUUCUGAAAAAAGUACUUUCCCCGGCUCGGCGUCAUCUCUUCCGUUGCCACGACCACUUGUGGCUAUAAGCUUGGUUUUUUUGCUUGGAAUGUGCAGCCACUAGACCGUCACAUCCCUGGCUCCAGAUGAAGAGGUAUGUGGGAAAAGACUAUGAUGAUGGUGUUUACCCAGAACUCGAUGUUCAGCAAUUUUCUUAGGAAAACUCUUUUCAGUGACAAAAUAUAAUAUUUAUAAGCAGCCACCUGUCACUGACACUGUACCCUCAUAUCUAUUCGUGUUGAUUAUCAAGAACAAUAGGAAAAGCGAUAGCUCUCACAGUGUGCCAAAGUUAUCAUAGAGGAUACAUCAGUACCACGCCCCCUAGCGUUGCUCAAAUAGGACUCCUAACCAGCUUUCCUGAGACUGGAACUUUCAUCUUCCGCUCUUUGCUUUUGUAGUCAGUUUCACUGGAUCAUAACUGGUGGCAGCCGGUAAAGUUAUCCGGAUUAAAACAUGUUGUAAUAUCUUGUCAAAGUUGAUAGAAUUAAGAUUUAAUUUAAGAUUGAAAGCUCUUAUUCACAACUAAUCAUUACGUCAAAGUCAGGGUAACCAUGUUAUCUCAGUGCUUUGUCUAUAUUGAUUUCACAAACUCUGGCAAAGUUUAUAACUCCCACACGUUGCGUUAAGAUAUCUGUAUAUUAAUGCUUAACUAAUGACGUCCUCUGGUGAGAAACUGCCAAACUUGUUUUGGUGCUGACUUCCGGAAUCCCUGAUAUUCUUCUUCAUAAUACUACUGUCACGGAGUUUAGAUAUUCCAACGUGUGCUCUCAUUAAAAUGUCCAUAUAAGUCACUUUCGAGAAGUAUUCUAGUCACAUCUUUGCAUUAUCUUCUUUUGUAACAUUCAGGAGUUUCUCAUUUACAAAAUGCCGUAGUUAAGAAAUUAGUAAUGUUUUAAAUUUUACGUAGUUGCAUCAAAUUUAAUAAACCUUAUCUUCAAGAAAUCCCUUGUUCUAUCUUAUCCUUAGCAUAAAAUAAAAUCUUAACUAUUCAAAGUUAAAAACGACCGUAGCGUUGUUCUCUUCACAAAGUAACUAUUUAAAUUUAAUUUUUUCUAUCUCUCCUAAUCGUAAUUUUCAGGAGUCAAUACUAAAAGCGUACGGUACGCUACUAUCAUUACAGUGAUCACGUUAGUUGGAUCAUCUCGGAAAGGAUAAACUUUAAUCAGUAGGCUGCAGAAAAACGUUGAGUUAAUUCAAUAGUGUAACAAGGACAAAAACUGAGAUGCGGACGACAUGGCUUUUACGUUAUAUUUUAUCUUUUGUUUUAUAUUUAUUAUCUUGUCUUUAAGCCCGUCUUUAC